AUGGCAGACCACCUUCAAGUUCAACAUCAUCAACAACAACUGAAUCUGCCACCAGGGUUCAGGUUUCAACCGACGGACAUGGAGAUCAUCACCUUCUACUUGGUCCCCAAGGUGCUGAAGAAAGUCUUCGACACCACGGUGGUCAAGGAGGUGGACCUGAACAAAUGUGAGCCAUGGGAUCUCCUAAAUAAGGUAAACAUGGGGGAGAAGGGGCGAUACUUCUUCUCCCAGAAGGGUCUCAAGUACUCCACCGGGAUACGGACCAACCGGGCCACGAAGGCCGGUUAUUGGAAGGCCACCGGAAAGGACAAGGAGAUCAUCCACCCACCGACCAUGAGUAUCAUCGGCAUGAAGAAGACGCUCGUAUUCUACAAGGGAAGGGCCCCCAAGGGGGAGAAGACAAACUGGAUCAUGCACGAGUACAGACUCAAGAGCGGUAAGCAACCCACACCCGGCCUGCCUGCUGACAUCGCCAAAGCCACCACCAUUAAUGCAUCUUCCAAGGGGGAGUAUGUGGUUUGUAGAAUCUUCCAUAAAAGCACUGGGCUGAAGAAGGUGAUGAUGCCAUCAUCUGACAUGUCCAUUCCCAUGUCCAUGGGGGAAGAGAAACAACAGAGCUUUCUCAAAUCUAGUACAUUGAUUCCUCUCAUGGACUAUGACAUGUUGUCUUCAUUGGCACCACCGCCUCCGUUGCCUGAAACUUCUUUGUACCAGAUGCAUACCUUCGAGGCCGGAUCGUUUGCGAUGGGCCGUGCGGUACUUCCGAUGAUGAACAACCAUGACUUUGGUAAGCACUACCAACAAAUGAUGGCCUCACCACAGUCAUCGAUGUCAUCCUACAACCACCACCAGCAACAACAGAUGAUGGAGAUGAGUGUAGACCAGGGCUUCAUGGUUGGAGUCGAUCCUGGGUAUGGUUCAUCGUCCAUAGUGUCUCACGAGGACGUUGUGACCUGGUUGAGCAACAACAACCAGGGUAACGGUGGCAUAGCAACCUCCGGCGAGAUCUUGUCAAUGAACAUGGGCAUAGAUGGCAUGUGGAAGUAUUGA
Molecule: ribosomal RNA, 1050 nt
Filed under: Triticum aestivum (bread wheat)
Lineage: Eukaryota; Viridiplantae; Streptophyta; Magnoliopsida; Poales; Poaceae
Description: partial small subunit ribosomal RNA
Source: RNAcentral